This is a small nucleolar RNA of Erinaceus europaeus (western European hedgehog), 82 nucleotides long. The record is from Ensembl. NCBI's taxonomy places the organism in Eukaryota, Metazoa, Chordata, Mammalia, Eulipotyphla, Erinaceidae.
AGCCUGUCACGAGUCUCUUUCAUUUCUGACACUUUGUAUGAGAACUGCAUGUGCAGUCUGAUUUGCAAACUUCCCUAGUCUA